CAGCAGCCGCCGCGGGAAUACGAAGGGUGCAAGCGUUAAUCGGAAUUACUGGGCGUAAAGCGCACGCAGGCGGUUUGUUAAGUCAGAUGUGAAAUCCCCGAGCUUAACCUGGGAACUGCAUUUGAAACUGGCAAGCUAGAGUCUUGUAGAGGGGGGUAGAAUUCCAGGUGUAGCGGUGAAAUGCGUAGAGAUCUGGAGGAAUACCGGUGGCGAAGGCGGCCCCCUGGACAAAGACUGACGCUCAUGCACGAAAGCGUGGGGAGCAAACAGGAUUAGAUACCCCUGUAGUCCCUGUCUCUUAUAU
This 304-nucleotide ribosomal RNA is filed under the name uncultured bacterium. RNAcentral's name for it is "partial 16S ribosomal RNA". It matches the Rfam family "Bacterial small subunit ribosomal RNA", at positions 506 to 809 of the family's 1533-position model. The record is from RNAcentral.